Molecule: long non-coding RNA, 924 nt
Filed under: Ursus thibetanus thibetanus
Lineage: Eukaryota; Metazoa; Chordata; Mammalia; Carnivora; Ursidae
Description: lncRNA (ENSUTTG00000019654.1)
Source: RNAcentral
CCGCUGCGUGAAUGGGAGGGGGCGCCGGGGGAGCGGGUCCUCCUCAACUAAGCUCCGGUUGCCAUGGCGACGGAGAGGCCUGCAGGGGCCUGGUCGGGGCUACACAGGCACUGCUUCUGCUCUUCCCCUUGGCCGUCCUGAGGGGACACAGUAGGAGCCAAGGAGGAGUAAAUUGUCACAUCAGAGUGAGAGAACAGAGCAGUAUCCUCCAAGGACCCUCAGUGGCAAGGACCAGAGAAGAAGAAAGGGAUAUGUGCACAGAGGAGGAAGAACAAGGUUGAUGCUGCAUGGAUAUUUUGUUGAUAGACUUCCUUGUGAGCUCAGGAUAAGAAGACACUGGAGUUAAAACAUUGAAGAGAGGUGGAUUUACCCCAAAGAUACAGACGUAGUAAAGAGAAGGGCCAUAUGCACCCCAAUGUUCAUAGCAGCAUUGUCCACAAUAGCUAAAUCGUGGAAGGAACCGAGACGCCCUUCAACAGAUGACUGGAGUAAGAAGUUGUGGUCCAUAUAUACAAUGGAAUAUUACUCAGCUAUCAGAAAGAACGAAUUCUCAACAUUUGCUGCAACAUGGACGGCACUGGAGGAGAUAAUGCUAAGCGAAAUAAGUCAAGCAGAGAAAGACAAUUAUUGUAUGAUUUCUCUCAUCUAUGGAACAUAAGAACUAGGAUGAUCGGUAGGGGAAGAAAGGGAUAAAGAAAGGGGGGGUAAUCAGAAGGGGGAAUGAAACAUGAGAGACUAUGGACUAUGAGAAACAAACUGAGGACUUCAGAGGGGAGGGGGGUGGGGGAAUGGGAUAGACCGGUGAUGGGUAGUAAGGAGGGCACGUAUUGCAUGGUGCACUGGGUGUUAUACACAACUAAUGAAUCAUCGAGCCUUACAUCGGAAACCGGGGAUGUACUGUAUGGUGACUAACAUAAUAUAAUA